RNAcentral lists this ribosomal RNA (2979 nucleotides) under Salmonella enterica subsp. enterica serovar Typhimurium. Its description in RNAcentral is "bacterial LSU rRNA". It matches the Rfam family "Bacterial large subunit ribosomal RNA". Lineage: Bacteria; Pseudomonadati; Pseudomonadota; Gammaproteobacteria; Enterobacterales; Enterobacteriaceae. The record is from RNAcentral.
ACUAAGCGUACACGGUGGAUGCCCUGGCAGUCAGAGGCGAUGAAGGGCGUGCUAAUCUGCGAUAAGCGCCGGUAAGGUGAUAUGAACCGUUAUAACCGGCGAUACCCGAAUGGGGAAACCCAGUGUGAUUCGUCACACUAUCAUUAACUGAAUCCAUAGGUUAAUGAGGCGAACCGGGGGAACUGAAACAUCUAAGUACCCCGAGGAAAAGAAAUCAACCGAGAUUCCCCCAGUAGCGGCGAGCGAACGGGGAGGAGCCCAGAGCCUGAAUCAGCAUGUGUGUUAGUGGAAGCGUCUGGAAAGGUGCGCGAUACAGGGUGACAGCCCCGUACACAAAAGCGCAUGUGCUGUGAGCUCGAUGAGUAGGGCGGGACACGUGGUAUCCUGUCUGAAUAUGGGGGGACCAUCCUCCAAGGCUAAAUACUCCUGACUGACCGAUAGUGAACCAGUACCGUGAGGGAAAGGCGAAAAGAACCCCGGCGAGGGGAGUGAAAAAGAACCUGAAACCGUGUACGUACAAGCAGUGGGAGCACCCUUCGGGGUGUGACUGCGUACCUUUUGUAUAAUGGGUCAGCGACUUAUAUUCUGUAGCAAGGUUAACCGUAUAGGGGAGCCGGAGGGAAACCGAGUCUUAACCGGGCGUUAAGUUGCAGGGUAUAGACCCGAAACCCGGUGAUCUAGCCAUGGGCAGGUUGAAGGUUGGGUAACACUAACUGGAGGACCGAACCGACUAAUGUUGAAAAAUUAGCGGAUGACCUGUGGCUGGGGGUGAAAGGCCAAUCAAACCGGGAGAUAGCUGGUUCUCCCCGAAAGCUAUUUAGGUAGCGCCUCGUGAAUUCAUCUCCGGGGGUAGAGCACUGUUUCGGCUAGGGGGCCAUCCCGGCUUACCAACCCGAUGCAAACUGCGAAUACCGGAGAAUGUUAUCACGGGAGACACACGGCGGGUGCUAACGUCCGUCGUGAAGAGGGAAACAACCCAGACCGCCAGCUAAGGUCCCAAAGUCAUGGUUAAGUGGGAAACGAUGUGGGAAGGCCCAGACAGCCAGGAUGUUGGCUUAGAAGCAGCCAUCAUUUAAAGAAAGCGUAAUAGCUCACUGGUCGAGUCGGCCUGCGCGGAAGAUGUAACGGGGCUAAACCAUGCACCGAAGCUGCGGCAGCGAACGUAUCACCCAAGACAACUUUACGGAGUUGACGAUUGACGGAGCGAAGCGACGUCAAAGCGUUCAUUAAAGUCGAGUUGGCUUAGGGAUACGUUCGUUGGGUAGGGGAGCGUUCUGUAAGCCUGUGAAGGUGUGUCGUGAGGCAUGCUGGAGGUAUCAGAAGUGCGAAUGCUGACAUAAGUAACGAUAAAGCGGGUGAAAAGCCCGCUCGCCGGAAGACCAAGGGUUCCUGUCCAACGUUAAUCGGGGCAGGGUGAGUCGACCCCUAAGGCGAGGCCGAAAGGCGUAGUCGAUGGGAAACGGGUUAAUAUUCCCGUACUUGGUGUUACUGCGAAGGGGGGACGGAGAAGGCUAUGUUGGCCGGGCGACGGUUGUCCCGGUUUAAGCGUGUAGGUGUGUGUUCCAGGUAAAUCCGGUUCACUUUAACACUGAGGCGUGACGACGAGGCACUACGGUGCUGAAGCAACAAAUGCCCUGCUUCCAGGAAAAGCCUCUAAGCAUCAGGUAACACGAAAUCGUACCCCAAACCGACACAGGUGGUCAGGUAGAGAAUACCAAGGCGCUUGAGAGAACUCGGGUGAAGGAACUAGGCAAAAUGGUGCCGUAACUUCGGGAGAAGGCACGCUGACACGUAGGUGAAGUGAUUUACUCAUGGAGCUGAAGUCAGUCGAAGAUACCAGCUGGCUGCAACUGUUUAUUAAAAACACAGCACUGUGCAAACACGAAAGUGGACGUAUACGGUGUGACGCCUGCCCGGUGCCGGAAGGUUAAUUGAUGGGGUCAGCGCAAGCGAAGCUCCUGAUCGAAGCCCCGGUAAACGGCGGCCGUAACUAUAACGGUCCUAAGGUAGCGAAAUUCCUUGUCGGGUAAGUUCCGACCUGCACGAAUGGCGUAAUGAUGGCCAGGCUGUCUCCACCCGAGACUCAGUGAAAUUGAACUCGCUGUGAAGAUGCAGUGUACCCGCGGCAAGACGGAAAGACCCCGUGAACCUUUACUAUAGCUUGACACUGAACAUUGAGCCUUGAUGUGUAGGAUAGGUGGGAGGCUUUGAAGUGUGGACGCCAGUCUGCAUGGAGCCGACCUUGAAAUACCACCCUUUAAUGUUUGAUGUUCUAACGUGGACCCGUAAUCCGGGUUGCGGACAGUGUCUGGUGGGUAGUUUGACUGGGGCGGUCUCCUCCUAAAGAGUAACGGAGGAGCACGAAGGUUGGCUAAUCCUGGUCGGACAUCAGGAGGUUAGUGCAAUGGCAUAAGCCAGCUUGACUGCGAGCGUGACGGCGCGAGCAGGUGCGAAAGCAGGUCAUAGUGAUCCGGUGGUUCUGAAUGGAAGGGCCAUCGCUCAACGGAUAAAAGGUACUCCGGGGAUAACAGGCUGAUACCGCCCAAGAGUUCAUAUCGACGGCGGUGUUUGGCACCUCGAUGUCGGCUCAUCACAUCCUGGGGCUGAAGUAGGUCCCAAGGGUAUGGCUGUUCGCCAUUUAAAGUGGUACGCGAGCUGGGUUUAGAACGUCGUGAGACAGUUCGGUCCCUAUCUGCCGUGGGCGCUGGAGAACUGAGGGGGGCUGCUCCUAGUACGAGAGGACCGGAGUGGACGCAUCACUGGUGUUCGGGUUGUCAUGCCAAUGGCACUGCCCGGUAGCUAAAUGCGGAAGAGAUAAGUGCUGAAAGCAUCUAAGCACGAAACUUGCCCCGAGAUGAGUUCUCCCUGAGACUUAGAGUCUCCUGAAGGAACGUUGAAGACGACGACGUUGAUAGGCCGGGUGUGUAAGCGCAGCGAUGCGUUGAGCUAACCGGUACUAAUGAACCGUGAGGCUUAACC